Non-coding RNA from Pelodiscus sinensis (Chinese soft-shelled turtle), 393 nucleotides. The record is from RefSeq and is a predicted model, not a curated record. NCBI's taxonomy places the organism in Eukaryota, Metazoa, Chordata, Testudines, Trionychidae.
UUUUAGGUGUCUGGUAUUUUCUGAAUUUUUUUUACCAGACAAGAGGUAAAAAUACUAGACUGUCCGGGUCAAUACCAGACACCUGGCAACCCUAUUCCUGGGCAGCCCAAGUCGUGUGUUGGGUUUCCUGGCUCCUCCCCUCCAGCAGCCCAGCUGAACAGCUUUCACUUUCCAGUUGCCCAGCUCUGAAGGCAUCAUGUCCACCAGCAACGGCACAUAGGGGAAAGAGAUUUGGACCUUUGACUGCAGAUAACUGAGAAGUCAGAAAUGAUAUACAAGGUUGUCUGAAACUUUCCUGGUAUCCUACGGUUCCCGGCAAUCAAGAUAACGUCACAGAGUUGCUGUUGCUUCAAGUAGCUUUCCAUCUUUCUGAAGGUUUGUUCGGCAUGGUGU